UUUGUCCUACGGGACGCAGCAGUGAGGAAUAUUGGUCAAUGGCCGAGAGGCUGAACCAGCCAAGUAGCGUGCAGGAUGACGGCCCUCGUGGUUGUAAACUGCUUUUAGUCGGGAAUAAAAGGGGGUUCGUGAAUCCCGUAUUGUAUGUACCGUCAGAAAAAGGACCGGCUAAUUCCGUGCCAGCAGCCGCGGUAAUACGGAAGGUCCGGGCGUUAUCCGGAUUUAUUGGGUUUAAAGGGGGCGUAGAUGGGUUGUUAAGUCAGUUGUGAAAGUUUGCGGCUCAACCGUAAAAUUGCAAUUGAUAU
RNAcentral lists this ribosomal RNA (305 nucleotides) under uncultured bacterium. RNAcentral describes it as "bacterial SSU rRNA". It matches the Rfam family "Bacterial small subunit ribosomal RNA", at positions 333 to 633 of the family's 1533-position model. The record is from RNAcentral.